This 100-nucleotide ribosomal RNA is filed under the name Mesocricetus auratus (golden hamster). Lineage: Eukaryota; Metazoa; Chordata; Mammalia; Rodentia; Cricetidae. The record is from RNAcentral.
CUACAAUCAUACCACCUUGAAUAUACCUGACCUCAUCUGAUCUCAAAAGCUAAGCAGAGUCAAGCCUGGUGAGAGCCUCAAUGGAAAGAGAUUGCAAAGA